This 496-nucleotide ribosomal RNA is filed under the name uncultured bacterium. RNAcentral's name for it is "partial 16S ribosomal RNA". It matches the Rfam family "Bacterial small subunit ribosomal RNA", at positions 28 to 506 of the family's 1533-position model. The record is from RNAcentral.
GAUGAACGCUGGCGGCGUGCCUAAUACAUGCAAGUCGAGCGAACAGACGAGGAGCUUGCUCCUCUGACGUUAGCGGCGGACGGGUGAGUAACACGUGGAUAACCUACCUAUAAGACUGGGAUAACUUCGGGAAACCGGAGCUAAUACCGGAUAAUAUAUUGAACCGCAUGGUUCAAUAGUGAAAGACGGUUUUGCUGUCACUUAUAGAUGGAUCCGCGCCGCAUUAGCUAGUUGGUAAGGUAACGGCUUACCAAGGCGACGAUGCGUAGCCGACCUGAGAGGGUGAUCAGCCACACUGGAACUGAGACACGGUCCAGACUCCUACGGGAGGCAGCAGUAGGGAAUCUUCCGCAAUGGGCGAAAGCCUGACGGAGCAACGCCGCGUGAGUGAUGAAGGUCUUCGGAUCGUAAAACUCUGUUACUAGGGAAGAACAAAUGUGUAAGUAACUAUGCACGUCUUGACGGUACCUAAUCAGAAAGCCACGGCUAACUACGU